GGCAUAAUCAUUAGUCUUUUAAUUUGAGACUGGUAUGAAAGAGUAAACCAGGAGAAUUUCUUUUCAACUAAAAAAAUGAAAUUUACUUUUUAGUAAGAAGGCUAAAAUAAAACUUUUAGACAAGAAGACCCUAUAAAACUUUAUAUUUCUAUUUCUUAAAAGAAAGAAGAAGUAUUUUACUGGGGCGGUAGAGAAAAGAGCUUUCUUUAAAAAGAAGUAACAAACAAGUUUUUAUACCUAGAAGUUCUAAAAAAGAAAUAAGUUACUUUAGGGAUAACAGCUUAAUUUACUUAGAAAGAUCAAAUUGACAAGUAAGUUUAUGACCUCGAUGUUGAAUUAAAAUACUAUUUUUGCGCAAAAGCUCAAAA
RNAcentral lists this ribosomal RNA (368 nucleotides) under Androctonus amoreuxi. Its description in RNAcentral is "partial 16S ribosomal RNA". Lineage: Eukaryota; Metazoa; Arthropoda; Arachnida; Scorpiones; Buthidae. The record is from RNAcentral.